AUUGAACGCUGGCGGCAGGCCUAACACAUGCAAGUCGAACGAGUGGCGGACGGGUGAGUAAUGUCUGGGAAACUGCCUGAUGGAGGGGGAUAACUACUGGAAACGGUAGGUAAUACCGCCUACUCUCCGAUGUGCCGAGAUGGGAUUAGCUUGUUGGUGGGGUAACGGCUCACCAAGGCGAACAUCCCUAGCUGGUCUGAGAGGAUGACGAGCGACACUGGAACUGAGACUCGGUCCCGACGCCUAUGGGCGGCAGCCGUGGGGAAGAUGGAACAGUGGGUGCAAGUCGGAUGCCGCGCUGGCGCGUGUAUGAAGAGGGCCUUAGGGUUGUAAAGUACUUUUAGCUGGGAGGCGUUACCCUUAGAAGCAGCACCGGCUAACUCCGUGCUAGCAGCCGCGGUAAUUC
RNAcentral lists this ribosomal RNA (406 nucleotides) under uncultured bacterium. RNAcentral describes it as "partial 16S ribosomal RNA". It matches the Rfam family "Bacterial small subunit ribosomal RNA", at positions 30 to 526 of the family's 1533-position model. The record is from RNAcentral.